Long non-coding RNA from Panonychus citri (citrus red mite), 8442 nucleotides. RefSeq lists it as uncharacterized. The record is from RefSeq and is a predicted model, not a curated record. The transcript is spliced from 5 exons. Lineage: Eukaryota; Metazoa; Arthropoda; Arachnida; Trombidiformes; Tetranychidae.
ACUCCAACAUAUCAUUUUGUUGAUGCAAUUGAAACAAUUACAAUUACAAUCUGUAAUUGUGUAUUGUAAUACAGUUGAUUGUAAACUGAUAAAAUAAUUAGAUUAAAUUGAAGGGUAACAAUUUAAUCAACAAACAAUCAGUGUAACGGUGAUGAUAACAUACAGAAAAAGUUAAACAAAGUAAUAACUAUCACAAGGGUGGAAGGCUAAUUGAAGACAAAUUGUUGCAAACGAUAAUUAUAUUGAAUGAUGAUGAACAAGAAUUGAUGAUGAUGAUGAUGAUGGAGAUGAAGGUCAAGGAGAAAGUGGGUCAUUAACUGUAAAAGAUAUUAAAACUAUUCAAGAUGAUGAAAGAAAACAAAAAGUAAAUAAAGAAACAGUAGUUGAUAAACAAAGAUUCAUAAUCUAUUAUUAUUGUUAUCACAAUUAACUGAUUGUUAUCUACAUCCGAAUGGCGAUUUAAUAAUAACCAGCAUUAAUUUGGCCUCGGGUGAAAUUGUUACCUUUUCAUUGACCAAUGAGAAUGUCCAACUGAUCUUAAAUUGUCGAUAAUUGUAAUCAAACAUCGAGAGAAUAAAAAGUUUAAUUAUUUUCUUUUUCCCUCUCAACACAUUCGUUUCCAUGGUGAUUCCCUCAAAUUUUUUUUCUUUUCCUUCCAUAAUCUCAUUUUCUUUCAAUUAGAUGAAACUCAUUUAAAUUUAAUUCUCUUGAAAGGUUAAUUGUGAUUUAAUUGAUUGGACUUUUCUCUCGAUGUUUGAUUGUAAUUGAUGAUGGAGAAGAAGGUGAAUCUUUUCUGGAAUUACAGACGGUUGAUAAUGGUAACUGGAUAAUCUCAGCGUGAUGUUAAAAGGUAUUUUCAUCAGUAUAGUCUAAUGAUUAUCAGACAUCAUCAAUUUAUCUACAACAAUCUUAAUCAUCAUCAUCACAAUACUUUAGAGAAAUCUUCUUUUUUUUCUGCUCUUUCUAUUCUUACACUUGAUUCCAUUUGAAUUACUGACCAGUCCGUUUAUACAAAUAGUACAGACAUUUGGACCAAACCACUGUUGGUAUUUUUAAAAUGUACUUUAAGCGCGAUUGUGUUUGGCGAUAAUCCAUCAAAUGAAAGAGUCAAAUGAUUAUGAUGAUAAAAGAUAACUGUGAUGAUGAUCCUGGUGAUGAUCAUGGCGAUGAUGAUGAUAAGAGUAACUUUGAUUAAUUGGUUAUAGAUACAAAGUGUAUGAAGAUAACUUGACUUGAAGAAACUUGGUUAUCAUGAAGAAACAUGAUCACCAGUUAUGUGAGUUAAUUUUUUCAUCCCAAUCAGUUUAAUCAAAUUUUUCACCUCUAAAUUAAUCAGUAAAUUGAUUGCGAAAAACAAAACAAAAAAAGAUUCAAAUUCUUUCAGGUCACCAUCAUCAGAACAUCGCAAUACAUGAUGAUUGGAUUUACAAUCAACUUGAUUACAACUUAUUGGGAAUCAAUGAUAACAUUUUAACUACUGAUAGUUAGCCAAAGAAGUCAAGAUCAAUCAACGGAACCGAAAAGUGAUCUUCCAUGUGAAAAAAUCGAUACACUAACAUUGACAUGGACACAUUCAAGUGAAUAAGAAGUGACAAAAAAAAUUGGUUGAAUAUGAUCAUCACUUACCCUUGACCUUUUCUUGGCUUUGUAUUGUAAUCCUUAAUUUGUUGACAAAAACUUUGAUUGUCACAAUUAAGGGUUGUUGUUGUUGUUGUUGUUGAUAUAAUAACUAUUAUCUGACUCAAACAAUUUACCCUUCAAUGGACGACAACACUUAGUUUAUAAAAUUUUUUUUCUCCAUCUUGAUCAAUCCUUAAUCAAAUUAGGUUGUUGUUGAUUGUAAGAAACUUCAUUAUCAUUAUCGUUGAUUCAAAUCACAAUUUAGAAAUUAAUAUUUCCAAGUCUAGGUCAAUUCUAAUCCUAUUUACUUAAACCCUUAUAUUGUUAAAAUUAGAUUACAACCAUUAUCAUUUUCAUAACACUUAAUCAUUACUAUCAAUUGAAAUUGAUUAACUUCAUUCUCAAUGAUUAGGAAAAUUAAUUUUCUUCACCUGUUAACUAAUAAUAAGAUUAACUUGCUUACAAUUAUUAUUAGUAACUGGUAAUAAGAAAUUAAUUAUUCUCAUUCCCAUAUUCAUGAUUUGUUAAUUCUGUCUGUAUUUAUGCCUAGUGACAUGAUUAACUAAUCACCAGUAUAUAUAUGAUAACAAUUAACUGGUGAAGAAAAGUUUAAUUCAAUUAACUGAAUAGUAUGUGAAUGUUGACAAAUUUUUUUCCCAAAGAAUCUGAAUCAACAAUUAUCAUUAACUGUUAACGUGGUAACUUUAUGAUAACUAUGAUUAACUUUAAAUUGACAUAAAAAUUUUAUCCCGUUAAUUGUAAUAAUUUAUCAGCCUUCAAUUAACAUUAUUAAUUGUUUUCCAGUCUUUCUUUAAAUUUAGUCUCUUAGGUUUUAAACUAAAUUUAGAAAUGAAUGUAAAUUUUUAAUUAAAAAUCGCCAAUCAUCAUUUAAAAAUAAUCAAUUGCAAAUGAAAAUAUUUACAAUUAACAAUUUAAAACCUCAGGGUAAAGUGAUUAGUCAAUGAUUUCAAUCUAACAACAAAAUGAUUAUUAAUUAUCAGCUGAUUAGCUGAUGAAAUUGAUUUUCUAUCCCAAGCUUAACUUUAGCGUAAAAUUAAUCAUCUAAUUAUCUUUACAGAUUUGCAACAAUCAAACAUGCAGAUUAAUUGUAAUGAUUAAACCAUCGACAAGAUAAACCGAAACAAUUAAUCAAAUGAUUUUCAAAUGGACCAUCAAGAGCUAAAAUUAAUCAACCAGGAAGGAAACAAUUAACUAAUCAACAUGGAAACCAAAGCCAAGAAAAAAUUUUCUGACCUCUUAACCAAAAUCAAAGCCAAGUAAAAGAUUUAAUUUAAUUGUAACAAUUUAAAGAAGGUCAGUUUUAUUGUGUCCAAAAGUAUAUUUAUUCUGAUGAUGAUGAACAAAAGAAAGAAAAGAAAGAGAAGAUGAAAACGCCUUUCAUUUUUCUCUUUCUUUUCUUAGGUUAUAUUGUAUUCUAAAUACAAAGUAAAAGAAAAAGUUUCUACGAGAAAACCGCCUCAGGGGUUUAACCAGAGCGUAAACUUUUUUCACGCUCAGUUGACUAAGCUAAUUCCAUGUAUUAAUUGUAUGUAAUUUAAUCCACAAGAGUGUUAACAAUAAUAGGAAAGUUUAAAUUGUUAGAGAAAAACAAAACAAUUCUAUUAAUCCAACUUUUACCUUUAAUCCCAAACCCUAAUCCUUAACCUCUUAUGUAUUUCUUAUGUUAAUUGGAUUGAGUUUGAUUAUCACAUUUAUAUGAUAAUUGUCAUGAUAAUAGUAAUUAAAUAAUUUAUAAAUCAUUUACUUAAUUGUUACUCGUUAAAGUUUCGACAAAUUUAAUGUUCAAAUUGUAUCCUGAUACUUUUUUUAUUGGAAAAUUAUCUUGAAAUUUCAUUUUCUGUAUUCUAAAUUAGAUUAACUAAUUUAAUCCAGUAAUUAAGGGUUAAUUUGAUUUAAUGUGAUUCCAGUAAAUAUUUUAAUCAAUCUCAAACCCCUUAAUUUGAAAGCCUUUAAACAAAUGAAAUUUAAAUUGAGCAAAUUUAAUUCUUGGGUGCGAAAGGUUAAUCAUCUUGAUUAAUUAAGACUUUUGAUCAAUCAUUUAUUCACAAUUAGAAAUGAGUAAUUAAAAAAUUAAUGAUUGACUCUAAUUGUUUGUUGAGUUUUCAAUAAAAUUUUAUUUUUACAAAUAAAUCAAACAUUAAGUUUAUCUGCAAUUUGAAAUUAACAAUUAAACAUCAACAGCAAUUAAUUAUGUUAAUAAAAAGCAAGGUAACAAUUAAAAUAGCCCUUUAAUUGUAUGUUAAUUGGUUGAAUUUUUUUUUCUUCAAUUUAAAUCGUCGCUGAUUUGUUGUGGUUUCAACAGAUUUAUAUUCAAACUCAGGUCACUGAUUGUAAACAAUUAACUAUUCAGUUAAUUAACUUUAUUUUCAGUAAAAAAAAAAGAAAUGAAAAUAAACAAUUAAUUUAAAUUGUAAUUAAUUAAAUCAAUUAAACUGUGGUUUCUUUUGUUGUUAUUACUUUUCAAUCAUACUCAUCACUUGUUGUUUAUGUAACUCAGCUGAUGAUAAUUUGGCCCUGAGGCGUUUUGAAUGAGAAAAAAAAUAUUUUGAUCUUGAUUUAAAUCACUGACACCAACAAGAUUAUAAAUAUAUGUAUUAACUUGAAUAUGAUUAACUAAUUAUCCAAUCUGUUUUUGACAGAUUCCAAAUUUUGUUUAUUCCGUUUUUCUCUCUCUGAUUGUGAAUCAAGUUUUCAGAAUGAUUAUCAUUUGAUUUACACACAAUUCAAUCAUGAUUUGAUCUUCAUCUCUCUCUCUCUCUCAUGUAAAUUGGGUCCUAAAGAUGAAGAUUUAAAAUAUAUGUUUAAAAAAUAUUAAAUCUAAAGGGAGAAACGAUAAAGAUGAAGAUCCGGUUGUGAGGAAGAUGAUGAAUCCACCUAAUAAACGCUCAGUGUGAUGAUGGUGAAUGAAAAUAUUAUAUUGGAAACACCAACACAGGGAAGUUGAAUCAACCUUUAUCACUUUACUUCAUCAUCAUCAUCAUUAUCAUCAUCAUUUUGAUACGUGAGGAUAUUUAUUGUAUUCUUGAUCUUAAUCCGCUUUAAAAAUUUAUGAUCUCAUCUCUCUAACUGGCUUGAAAAUAUAACGGAUUAAAAUACCAUUCAAUAGAUGAUCAGGAAAAGAGGAUUUAAAUUUGAUUAUUAAACAAUAUCAAUGUUAAAAGGACAAGAUGAUCAUCAUGUUUACAUUGUUGUUGAUGAUGAUGAUGAUGAUGGUAGAUGAUGAUUAUAACGGUAAAAAAGUGUUUACAUGUUGAAGGGUUAAAGUCUUUAGGUGUGUAUGUUUAUCCUUCGUCUAGAUGGUUGUUAUCAAUGAAAAGUUUUGUUCUUUUCUCUUUUUCUCUUAAUAGUAUUUAGUUAGAAUGUUAUUAGCACAGUUAAUUAGAUUGAUUGAAUUGUAUUAAAAGAACAAUUUAGUAACAAUUAACAAUAGAAAAAAGAGAAAGAAGAUUAUUUAAAAGGAUAAUCUUUGUUUUCCCUUUAAAAGGUUUUACUGAUUCUCUUUAAGGAUAAAACAAAGAAAUUGAAAGAUAAAUUAUAUUACAAGGAAGAGGAAUAAAACUUUAUAUUGGUAAUCAUGUUUUUCUCUGAUUAAUAUUGAAUAAUUAUGAAAGAAAAUUAAACAUGAGAAGGAAUUAAUUCUCUGAUUAUCAAUGAAGAAAAAGAAUCAUGUUGAUUGAGUCUAAAUAACAACAGAAUUAAGGAUUGGUCAACAUGGAAAAGAAUUUUCAACAAAACUGAUUAACUAAUUAAUGAGAAGUAUGAUUAACAGAAAUUGGAUUUUUUUUUCUUCUCUGUUUUAGAUUGGAUUCAUUUUCUUUCUUCUUUCUAUUGAUCGAACUCACAAAUUGUUCGAAUUUUAAUUACGAUCUCAUUUAUCGAACUUGAAAUGUAAACAGUAGAGUGAGAAUAAGAUAAAUUGCUAUUAUAUUUAAAGUGAACUUUUAUCGCUCAUUUUGGUUGGUGAAAUUUUCUUCUUCUCAAUCGCGUUAAUUGUCGUCUAAUUGUUUUAUUCAAUUUUCUGUGUUCUCAUUGAAAUUAAGUCAUCAUCAUAUUCAUCAAAUGUGAGAAACUGUUGAUGAGAAAUUACCAUGUUCCUAACGGUAGUAACUCGGUAUUUUCUACUCUGUAUAUGCGUGAUUACCGUUAGUCUUCAUUUCUUGGUGAUGAUUCUUAAUUUAUCUUCAUCAAUUUGUCAUAUUCUCUCUAUCUCUCUCUCUCUUUCAUUGUGUUCGUUUUUCUAAUUUGUAAGAGGAAGAAAAACUGACCAUCAUCUGUUUACUUUUCUUCACGUAACUGUUUUUCUAAAAAAAAAGUUUUCUCUCUUCUUUGUUUGGUCAACAGGUAACCAGGUUUAAUCGAUUACGAAGAUGAUUUAAAUUAUCUUUAUUAUGAUGAUGAUUAAGAUAAACACUAGUUAGUGACAAGAUUGACCUGGUAACGCUCCUGAAGAUUAUCCUGAGUGAUGGUCAAACAUAGUGUGUAAGAUGAAGAUGGUCAAUGUCACUGUUUUCAUCUUCUAAUUAAUAUACAACAAGGUUGAAAAGAUGGAAGAUAAAUUAAAACUCUGCCCUUUUCUCUUCAUAAUAUCUUUUAUCAUCAUCAUCAUCAUCAUCAUUAUCAUCUUUAUCUUCAUGUUGUUUCCUUGGAUACUAAAGAUUAAUUAGAGUUUUCUUAAGAGAGACUAUUAAUGAAUUACAUAUCAUAUGUUAUAAUGGAAAGAUGAAGAUGCUAACAAGAAGAAGAAGAAGAGAAAGAAGAUGAUAAUGAUAAUGAAGGUGAUACAGAAAGAAAAGGAAGAUAAUAGAAGAAAGGUAAAUGGAAGAUAAAGAUGAAGAUGAAAAGAAAAAAAAGGAAGAAGAAGCAAAGGAUUCAAGGUAAAAUUUCAUUUCGAAUCAACUUAUUAUUAUUAGCUACCUGUCUUCACAUGAAAAGACGCUCAGAUUUUAAAGAAAAAGCCUCAUGAGGUCAGUAGAGCGACAUAAAGAGUCUAAUUUACUCAGACAAACCAUUUCAUCUUUCUCAUCACUGAAGAUUACUGGAAAUUAUCAUCAUCAUUAUCAUCAAUUUCCUUCCUUUUAUUUUCUUCAAUGGCCUGAGUUUCAUUUGGAUAUUUCAUCAUGGACACUUUUUCCAAUUCCAAAACAACAGAAAAUUUUUAUUCUCAUUAAAAAGAUGAACUUUUUUUCCUUUCCGAGAAAAUUAAGAUGACAGGAAGAUCGUAAUGAUGAUGAUCGAUGAUCCUGAUGAUAUUGACUCAUCAUUAGUUAUCACUCUGGUCUCGAUUGAUGAUUAUCAUGGAAAUGUUCAAUUCUAUCUCUUAGGUUAACCUUUUUAUGAAUGAAUUUAGGUGGACCUUUGGUUUAAGGUGAUCGAUUGGCUUAUUUACCAAGCAUCUUCAUCUAUUUGGUAUCUUCAAUGUUAUUCAAUCAGGAAAAAGUUUUAAUCAUCACAAUAUUUAACAAGAUAUUUCCUCUCUUUUGUUAAUCUUUUCAGCUCUUAAAUUGUAACAAUUAGAUAAUCACCAUUGAAGAUAUGACCCAAUUUCCAAUAAUUUGAUUUAAAAUUAGAUCACGAAAAUUGUUCAAUUGUAAUUGAUCAUUGGUAAUCAUUAUUUACUUUUUAGAUCACUUUCUAGAGUUUGAGACAAUUAUUGGCAUUUUUUGUGAUCAUGGAUUCAGAACUUUCUAAAAUAAUUAACUAUCUUUGCACGAAACUAAUCAAUUAGACAAUUAUUACAUGUAUUGGCAAUUAGAAAGCAAAUCAAGAAGCAUCGAGAGUAAUUAGUAACAUCUUGAUACAUUGUUUUCUUAUUGUUAUUGUUGUCGUUUUGUUUUAAUUGAAUCAACAAUUGAUGAGUUGAUUGUUGAUUCAAUUGAUGAAAGGGAUUCAUAUGAAUGAAUCUGUUGAAAAAGACAAUCAAAUUAUAUCUUGAUGGUCCAGUUAUGUUACCAUAAUUGUGUCGAUAAUAUUUGAAUAGAUUUUGCGUUAAUUAAUCAUAAUUAAGGGUUAUGAUAAGGGUUAUCAACUUGUCAUCUGUAGUAUUUAAUUGAGAUAAUUUAAUAUUGGUCCAUUAUCGUUUUGACCUGAAAAUGAUGUGAAAUCGUGGGCACAAUUCAUUGUGAUUUAGCUGAUUGAUCAAGAAAAGAAAACCACAAUUAAAAUCUCUAGCAAAAGCUAUUAAUUUUUCCAUUAAUACAAUUAACUUUUCAACUAAUCAAUAGAUUCAAUCAACAACAACAACAAAUCCAAGAAAAUAUAAGGUAAACAAUUAAACUUAAACCAUUAACUUUCAAAACUUACGAAGCAAAUUGUUAUGAUUACCAAUUGUUAAUCUAAUUGCUUCCCUUCAAUUCCUACUAGGUCUUGAUGUCAUUGGCUUAAUUGUUGACCAAUUUCAAUUAAAUCAAAAUCAUCCAACUUCAAAUGUAAUGUUUUCAUUUGAUUGUUGAAAACUUUUCCAAAUCACAACCUUAAUUGUUGCAACUAUUGAACCAAAAUACUUUCCUAUGAUUUAACCCUCACAAUUAUACACUUAAACAAUUAACUAAUAGUCUAAUAAUACAUUGAUACAAUUAGAUUAAGAUUUAAUUGAUUGCAAGUGAAUACAAAAUCAUUUAUGAUCAAGUUUGAUGAGUUCAAAGUGAAUCUAUUGGGUGAAUUACUGUUGUAAUUGUGGUAUUGGAUCAAUUGUAAUGCUAAUUAAUCCUAAUUAAUGGUGAUUAUAAGGGUUACCAAUCAAGUGAAUAAUGUUAAUUAUGUUUUCGUUUUGUAUUAAUAACAAACCACCACCUCUAAUUGUGU